RNAcentral lists this ribosomal RNA (468 nucleotides) under uncultured bacterium. RNAcentral's name for it is "partial 16S ribosomal RNA". It matches the Rfam family "Bacterial small subunit ribosomal RNA", at positions 28 to 507 of the family's 1533-position model. The record is from RNAcentral.
GACGAACGCUGGCGGCGUGCUUAACACAUGCAAGUCGAACGGAGAGGCCCUGCUUUUGUGGGGUGCUCGAGUGGCGAACGGGUGAGUAACACGUGAGUAACCUGCCCUUGACUUUGGGAUAACUUCAGGAAACUGGGGCUAAUACCGGAUAGGAGCUCCUGCUGCAUGGUGGGGGUUGGAAAGUUUCGGCGGUUGGGGAUGGACUCGCGGCUUAUCAGCUUGUUGGUGGGGUAGUGGCUUACCAAGGCUUUGACGGGUAGCCGGCCUGAGAGGGUGACCGGCGAAAAGGGGAGAGAGAUAGAGGACGGACGGAUGCGGGAGGCAGAAAGGGGGCGGAUCGGGCAAGGGGCGGAGGCCUAGAACAGGCACGCGGCGGGGCGGAUGGGUGCCGGCGGGUGGUAGACAUAUUAGGCCUGUGAGACAGAGUGAGUGAAGGUAAAGUAUAAAGCAGCAACGGCUAACUCGGCG